Molecule: ribosomal RNA, 497 nt
Filed under: uncultured bacterium
Lineage: Bacteria
Description: partial 16S ribosomal RNA
Rfam family: Bacterial small subunit ribosomal RNA
Source: RNAcentral
GAUGAACGCUGGCGGCGUGCCUAAUACAUGCAAGUCGAGCGAACAGACGAGGAGCUUGCUCCUCUGACGUUAGCGGCGGACGGGUGAGUAACACGUGGAUAACCUACCUAUAAGACUGGGAUAACUUCGGGAAACCGUAGCUAAUACCGGAUAAUAUAUUGAACCGCAUGGUUCAAUAGUGAAAGACGGUUUUGCUGUCACUUAUAGAUGGAUCCGCGCGGCAUUAGCUAGUUGGUAAGGUAACGGCUUACCAAGGCAACGAUGCGUAGCCGACCUGAGAGGGUGUUGCGCCACACUGGAACUGAGACACGGUCCAGACUCCUACGGGAGGCAGCAGUAGGGAAUCUUCCGCAAUGGGCGAAAGCCUGACGGAGCAACGCCGCGUGAGUGAUGAAGGUCUUCGGAUCGUAAAACUCUGUUAUUAGGGAAGAACAAAUGUGUAAGUAACUAUGCACGUCUUGACGGUACCUAAUCAGAAAGCCACGGCUAACUACGUG